UUUCCGUAGGUGAACCUGCGGAAGGAUCAUUAACGAGUUCAAAAGUCGGUCGACCGUGCUGGUGGAGACACAUGUGCACGUCGGUCGCGAACCAUCCACACACCGUGAACCUAUGGCCCGGGGUUCUAGUUUAGACUCUGAGCACAUUUUUACACUCUGUUCGUAAAGGAAUGUCAUAUAUCAUAUAAACAUACAACUUUCAACAACGGAUCUCUUGGCUCUCGCAUCGAUGAAGAACGCAGC
RNAcentral lists this unclassified non-coding RNA (243 nucleotides) under uncultured fungus. RNAcentral's name for it is "sequence contains ITS1, 5.8S rRNA gene". The stretch from base 195 to 243 matches the Rfam family "5.8S ribosomal RNA", at positions 1 to 49 of the family's 154-position model. Lineage: Eukaryota; Fungi. The record is from RNAcentral.